CAGUCGCCGCGGUAAAACGUAGGGUGCAAGCGUUAAUCGGAAUUACUGGGCGUAAAGCGUGCGCAGGCGGUUAUAUAAGACAGAUGUGAAAUCCCCGGGCUCAACCUGGGAACUGCAUUUGUGACUGUAUAGCUAGAGUACGGCAGAGGGGGAUGGAAUUCCGCGUGUAGCAGUGAAAUGCGUAGAUAUGCGGAGGAACACCGAUGGCGAAGGCAAUCCCCUGGGCCUGUACUGACGCUCAUGCACGAAAGCGUGGGGAGCAAACAGGAUUAGAUACCCCCGUAGUCCCUGUCUCUUAUAC
This 301-nucleotide ribosomal RNA is filed under the name uncultured bacterium. RNAcentral's name for it is "partial 16S ribosomal RNA". It matches the Rfam family "Bacterial small subunit ribosomal RNA", at positions 509 to 807 of the family's 1533-position model. The record is from RNAcentral.